Molecule: ribosomal RNA, 2859 nt
Filed under: Campylobacter jejuni
Lineage: Bacteria; Pseudomonadati; Campylobacterota; Epsilonproteobacteria; Campylobacterales; Campylobacteraceae
Description: partial 23S ribosomal RNA
Rfam family: Bacterial large subunit ribosomal RNA
Source: RNAcentral
GUAAGCUACUAAGAGCGAAUGGUGGAUGCCUUGACUGGUAAAGGCGAUGAAGGACGUACUAGACUGCGAUAAGCUACGGGGAGCUGUCAAGAAGCUUUGAUCCGUAGAUUUCCGAAUGGGGCAACCCAAUGUAUAGAGAUAUACAUUACCUAUAUAGGAGCGAACGAGGGGAAUUGAAACAUCUUAGUACCCUCAGGAAAAGAAAUCAAUAGAGAUUGCGUCAGUAGCGGCGAGCGAAAGCGCAAGAGGGCAAACCCAGUGCUUGCACUGGGGGUUGUAGGACUGCAAUGUGCAAGAGGUAAGUUUAGCAGAACAUUCUGGAAAGUAUAACCAUAGAGGGUGAUAGUCCCGUAUGCGAAAAACAAACCUUAGCUAGCAGUAUCCUGAGUAGGGCGGGACACGAGGAAUCCUGUCUGAAUCCGGGUCGACCACGAUCCAACCCUAAAUACUAAUACCAGAUCGAUAGUGCACAAGUACCGUGAGGGAAAGGUGAAAAGAACUGAGGUGAUCAGAGUGAAAUAGAACCUGAAACCAUUUGCUUACAAUCAUUCAGAGCCCUAUGUAGCAAUACAGGGUGAUGGACUGCCUUUUGCAUAAUGAGCCUGCGAGUUGUGGUGUCUGGCAAGGUUAAGCAAACGCGAAGCCGUAGCGAAAGCGAGUCUGAAUAGGGCGCUUAGUCAGAUGCUGCAGACCCGAAACGAAGUGAUCUAUCCAUGAGCAAGUUGAAGCUAGUGUAAGAACUAGUGGAGGACUGAACCCAUAGGCGUUGAAAAGCCCCGGGAUGACUUGUGGAUAGGGGUGAAAGGCCAAUCAAACUUCGUGAUAGCUGGUUCUCUCCGAAAUAUAUUUAGGUAUAGCGUUGUGUCGUAAUAUAAGGGGGUAGAGCACUGAAUGGGCUAGGGCAUACACCAAUGUACCAAACCCUAUCAAACUCCGAAUACCUUAUAUGUAAUCACAGCAGUCAGGCGGCGAGUGAUAAAAUCCGUCGUCAAGAGGGAAACAACCCAGACUACCAGCUAAGGUCCCUAAAUCUUACUUAAGUGGAAAACGAUGUGAAGUUACUUAAACAACCAGGAGGUUGGCUUAGAAGCAGCCAUCCUUUAAAGAAAGCGUAAUAGCUCACUGGUCUAGUGAUUUUGCGCGGAAAAUAUAACGGGGCUAAAGUAAGUACCGAAGCUGUAGACUUGCACACAACUUAGAUUAUUUAAGUUUAGAAUAUGAGAAACUAAGUUAUAUGUUUAGUUAUAUUUUUACUGAUUUUUAUAGAGUAAAGAUAGAAAUAAAACUUAGUAAAAUCAGUAAAAAUAUUCUUAGACUAAAGUUAAGUAGUUUAAGUUGUGUGCAAGUGGUAGGAGAGCGUUCUAUUUGCGUCGAAGGUAUACCGGUAAGGAGUGCUGGAGCGAAUAGAAGUGAGCAUGCAGGCAUGAGUAGCGAUAAUUAAUGUGAGAAUCAUUAACGCCGUAAACCCAAGGUUUCCUACGCGAUGCUCGUCAUCGUAGGGUUAGUCGGGUCCUAAGUCGAGUCCGAAAGGGGUAGACGAUGGCAAAUUGGUUAAUAUUCCAAUACCAACAUUAGUGUGCGAUGGAAGGACGCUUAGGGCUAAGGGGGCUAGCGGAUGGAAGUGCUAGUCUAAGGUCGUAGGAGGUUGUACAGGCAAAUCCGUAUAACAAUACUCCGAGAACUGAAAGGCUUUUUGAAGUCUUCGGAUGGAUAGAAGAACCCCUGAUGCCGUCGAGCCAAGAAAAGUUUCUAAGUUUAGCUAAUGUUGCCCGUACCGUAAACCGACACAGGUGGGUGGGAUGAGUAUUCUAAGGCGCGUGGAAGAACUCUCUUUAAGGAACUCUGCAAAAUAGCACCGUAUCUUCGGUAUAAGGUGUGGUUAGCUUUGUAUUAGGAUUUACUCCGAAAGCAAGGAAACUUACAACAAAGAGUCCCUCCCGACUGUUUACCAAAAACACAGCACUCUGCUAACUCGUAAGAGGAUGUAUAGGGUGUGACGCCUGCCCGGUGCUCGAAGGUUAAUUGAUGGGGUUAGCAUUAGCGAAGCUCUUGAUCGAAGCCCGAGUAAACGGCGGCCGUAACUAUAACGGUCCUAAGGUAGCGAAAUUCCUUGUCGGUUAAAUACCGACCUGCAUGAAUGGCGUAACGAGAUGGGAGCUGUCUCAAAGAGGGAUCCAGUGAAAUUGUAGUGGAGGUGAAAAUUCCUCCUACCCGCGGCAAGACGGAAAGACCCCGUGGACCUUUACUACAGCUUGACACUGCUACUUGGAUAAGAAUGUGCAGGAUAGGUGGGAGGCUUUGAGUAUAUGACGCCAGUUGUAUAUGAGCCAUUGUUGAGAUACCACUCUUUCUUAUUUGGGUAGCUAACCAGCUUGAGUUAUCCUCAAGUGGGACAAUGUCUGGUGGGUAGUUUGACUGGGGCGGUCGCCUCCCAAAUAAUAACGGAGGCUUACAAAGGUUGGCUCAGAACGGUUGGAAAUCGUUCGUAGAGUAUAAAGGUAUAAGCCAGCUUAACUGCAAGACAUACAAGUCAAGCAGAGACGAAAGUCGGUCUUAGUGAUCCGGUGGUUCUGUGUGGAAGGGCCAUCGCUCAAAGGAUAAAAGGUACCCCGGGGAUAACAGGCUGAUCUCCCCCAAGAGCUCACAUCGACGGGGAGGUUUGGCACCUCGAUGUCGGCUCAUCGCAUCCUGGGGCUGGAGCAGGUCCCAAGGGUAUGGCUGUUCGCCAUUUAAAGCGGUACGCGAGCUGGGUUCAGAACGUCGUGAGACAGUUCGGUCCCUAUCUGCCGUGGGCGUAAGAAGAUUGAAGAGAUUUGACCCUAGUACGAGAGGACCGGGUUGAACAAACCACUGGUGUAG